CAGCGGUCCGGCCGGGAACUCAAAGGAGACUGCCAGUGAUAAACUGGAGGAAGGUGGGGAUGACGUCAAGUCAUCAUGGCCCUUACGACCAGGGCUACACACGUGCUACAAUGGCGCAUACAAAGAGAAGCGACUUCGCGAGAGCAAGCGGACCUCAUAAAGUGCGUCGUAGUCCGGAUUGGAGUCUGCAACUCGACUCCAUGAAGUCGGAAUCGCUAGUAAUCGUGGAUCAGAAUGCCACGGUGAAUACGUUCCCGGGCCUUGUACACACCGCCCGUCACACCAUGGGAGUGGGUUGCAAAAGAAGUAGGUAGCUUAACCUUCGGGAGGGCGCUUACCACUUUGUGAUUCAUGACUGGGGUGAAGUCGUAACAAGGUAACCGUAGGGGAACCUGCGGUUGGAUCACCUCCUUA
Molecule: ribosomal RNA, 414 nt
Filed under: Salmonella enterica subsp. enterica serovar Weltevreden
Lineage: Bacteria; Pseudomonadati; Pseudomonadota; Gammaproteobacteria; Enterobacterales; Enterobacteriaceae
Description: bacterial SSU rRNA
Rfam family: Bacterial small subunit ribosomal RNA
Source: RNAcentral